AUUGAACGCUGGCGGCAUGCCUUACACAUGCAAGUCGAACGGUAACAGGUCUUCGGAUGCUGACGAGUGGCGAACGGGUGAGUAAUACAUCGGAACGUGCCUAGUAGUGGGGGAUAACUACUCGAAAGAGUGGCUAAUACCGCAUGAGAUCUACGGAUGAAAGCAGGGGAUCGCAAGACCUUGUGCUACUAGAGCGGCCGAUGGCAGAUUAGGUAGGUGGGGGGAUAAAAGCUUACCAAGCCGACGAUCUGUAGCUGGUCUGCGAGGACGAUCGACAACACUGGGAAUGAGACACGGCCCAGACUCCGACGGGAGGCAGCAGUGGGUAAUUUUGGACAAUGGGCGCAAGCCUGAUCCAGCAAUGCCGCGUGCAGGAUGAAGGCCUUCGGGUUGUAAACUGCUUUUGUACGGAACGAAAAGCCCCGGGUUAAUACCCUGGGGUCAUGACGGUACCGUAAGAAUAAGCACCGGCUAACUACGUGCCAGCAGCCGCCGUAA
This 498-nucleotide ribosomal RNA is filed under the name uncultured bacterium. RNAcentral's name for it is "partial 16S ribosomal RNA". It matches the Rfam family "Bacterial small subunit ribosomal RNA", at positions 30 to 523 of the family's 1533-position model. The record is from RNAcentral.